AUACGUAGGUGGCAAGCGUUGUCCGGAAUUACUGGGUGUAAAGGGCGUGUAGGCGGGGAUGCAAGUCAGAUGUGAAAUUCCGGGGCUCAAACCCGGCACUGCAUCUGAAACUGGGUCUCUUGAGUGCUGGAGAGGAAAGCGGAAUUCCUAGUGUAGCGGUGAAAUGCGUAGAUAUUAGGAGGAACACCAGUGGCGAAGGCGGCUUUCUGGACAGUAACUGACGCUGAGGCGCGAAAGCGUGGGUAGCGAACAGGAUUAGAUACCCUGGUAGUCCACGCCGUAAACGAUGGAUACUAGGUGUAGGAGGUAUCGACCCCUUCUGUGCCGGAGUUAACACAAUAAGUAUCCCACCUGGGGAGUACGGCCGCAAGGUUGAAACUCAAAUGAAUUGACGGGG
Molecule: ribosomal RNA, 397 nt
Filed under: uncultured bacterium
Lineage: Bacteria
Description: partial 16S ribosomal RNA
Rfam family: Bacterial small subunit ribosomal RNA
Source: RNAcentral